RNAcentral lists this ribosomal RNA (665 nucleotides) under Pterygodium magnum. RNAcentral describes it as "eukaryotic LSU rRNA". The stretch from base 216 to 371 matches the Rfam family "5.8S ribosomal RNA". Lineage: Eukaryota; Viridiplantae; Streptophyta; Magnoliopsida; Asparagales; Orchidaceae. The record is from RNAcentral.
AACAUGUGAACUAAUUGGCAGGCAGUCGUCAUGCCACGUACCUACCCCCAUACCGCACGAAAUCCCCAUCGAGGGCUUCAGCCACGCAGGAGGCAAGAGACUAAACAAGAGGAGCUCUACGCCUAGGAAACUAUGUAGCAUGAGCGUCGACGGCGCAUUCUAAAGCACGAGCUCUCGAGGCGCCACCGCACGCCUCCUCCUUAAGGAAGUUGUAGGACUCUCGAUAAUGGAUAUUUUGGCUCUAGUAUUGAUGAAGAGCACAGUGAAAUGCGAUACGUGGUGUGAAUUACAGAAUCUCAUGAACCAUCGAGUUUUUGAAUGCAAGUUGCACCUAAGGCCAACCGGCCGAGGGCACGUCCUCUUGGGCAUCAAGCAUUAUAUUGCUCCACCCAACUACCACCAUCAAAGCGAUGCGGGGCACCGCCAUGGAUACAGAGAGUGGACCGUCGCGCGUUGACGCGUGAUGGGCUAAAGAGCGGGGCAAUUUUCUCUUUGUGGUGAUCGAUAAAUGGGUGGGAUGCAAGCCAGAGUCGAUCUCCAUCAUCGCACAGUCGCCCUAUGAAAGCCUAAAUCUUGGGCUAACCCAUACCAAUAUCUAGUCCAACAAUUUGAAAUGCGACCCCAGGAUGGGCGGGGUGCCCUACUGAGUUUAAGCAUAUAAAUAA